AUUGAACGCUGGCGGCAUGCUUUACACAUGCAAGUCGAACGGUAACAGGUCUUCGGAUGCUGACGAGUGGCGAACGGGUGAGUAAUGCAUCGGAACGUGCCCAGUCGUGGGGGAUAACGUAGCGAAAGCUACGCUAAUACCGCAUACGAUCUAUGGAUGAAAGCGGGGGACCUAAGGCCUCGCGCGAUUGGAGCGGCAGAUGUCAGAUUAGGUAGUUGGUGGGGUAAAGGCUCACCAAGCCAACGAUCUGUAGCUGGUCUGAGAGGACGACCAGCCACACUGGAACUGAGACACGGUCCAGACUCCUACGGGAGGCAGCAGUGGGGAAUUUUGGACAAUGGGCGCAAGCCUGAUCCAGCAAUGCCGCGUGCAGGAUGAAGGCCUCGGUUGGUAACGUAG
Molecule: ribosomal RNA, 399 nt
Filed under: uncultured bacterium
Lineage: Bacteria
Description: bacterial SSU rRNA
Rfam family: Bacterial small subunit ribosomal RNA
Source: RNAcentral